UACGUAGGGCGCAAGCGUUAUCCGGAAUUAUUGGGCGGAAAGAGCUCGUAGGCGGUUUGUCGCGUCUGCCGUGAAAGUCCGGGGCUCAACUCCGGAUCUGCGGUGGGUACGGGCAGACUAGAGUGAUGUAGGGGAGACUGGAAUUCCUGGUGUAGCGGUGAAAUGCGCAGAUAUCAGGAGGAACACCGAUGGCGAAGGCAGGUCUCUGGGCAUUAACUGACGCUGAGGAGCGAAAGCAUGGGGAGCGAACAGG
RNAcentral lists this ribosomal RNA (253 nucleotides) under uncultured bacterium. Its description in RNAcentral is "partial 16S ribosomal RNA". It matches the Rfam family "Bacterial small subunit ribosomal RNA", at positions 524 to 776 of the family's 1533-position model. The record is from RNAcentral.